ACACCCUUCUGUGGACCUAAUUAAAACCGUUGCCUCGGCGGGCGGCCCCACCGCGGGCCGGACAGACUGGCCGCCUCCGGGAGGUAAACCUCUCCAUGAGGCGCGCCGGCGCCAGCCGCUGGCCCCAAACAAUCAAACUCUAGUAAUCUUACCUUCUGAGUUUUAAUUGUAAAAUAAGUCAAAACUUUCAACAACGGAUCUCUUGGCUCUGGCAUCGAUGAAGAACGCAGCGAAAUGCGAUAAGUAAUGUGAAUUGCAGAAUUCAGUGAAUCAUCGAAUCUUUGAACGCACAUUGCGCCCGCUGGCAUUCCGGCGGGCAUGCCCGUUCGAGCGCAUUUCAACCCCUUCCCAGGAAAUUCUUUUAGGAGGGUUCCCCUGGGGCGUUGGCACCGGGCGCCGCUUUUAUAUAGGCGGCCGGAGCCGAAAUUUAGUGGCGGACACGCGGCGGCCCCUAGCGCAGUAGCACAAUUUCUCUCGCUUAGGAGGCUCGCGGCGCGGACUAUAGCCCUACGCAAACUCAUUUGACAAAUGAAACUUGACCUCGGAUCGGGUAGGACUACCCGCUGAACUUAAGCAUAU
This 579-nucleotide ribosomal RNA is filed under the name fungal sp. RNAcentral's name for it is "eukaryotic LSU rRNA". The stretch from base 183 to 336 matches the Rfam family "5.8S ribosomal RNA". The record is from RNAcentral. Lineage: Eukaryota; Fungi.